NGCAACCUUGUCAAAUUCAGUGCUUCCUUCCCCCUGGAUGUCACUGGCCAAAGUGGUUGCUAUAGUAACAGUGUAGCAGAUGGGCCCCACGGUGAUUCAGCAUGGCCGUCCGGGGACAAAUAUUUGCUGCACACAGCU
Small nucleolar RNA from Poecilia latipinna (sailfin molly), 138 nucleotides. NCBI's taxonomy places the organism in Eukaryota, Metazoa, Chordata, Actinopteri, Cyprinodontiformes, Poeciliidae. The record is from Ensembl.